Molecule: ribosomal RNA, 326 nt
Filed under: uncultured eukaryote
Lineage: Eukaryota
Description: partial 18S ribosomal RNA
Rfam family: Eukaryotic small subunit ribosomal RNA
Source: RNAcentral
CCCUUAGAUGUCCUGGGCCGCACGCGUGCUACACUGACGCCUACAGCGAGUACUUCCCAGCCCCGAGAGGCGGCUGGUAAUCAGCAAUAGGCGUCGUGAUGGGGAUAGAUCUUUGGAAUUAUGGAUCUUGAACGAGGAAUGCCUAGUAAGCGCAGGUCAUUAGCCUGCGCUGAUUACGUCCCUGCCCUUUGUACACACCGCCCGUCGCUACUACCGAUUUCGAGUGGUCCGGUGAAUAAUUCGGACUGCAGCAGUGUUCAGUUCCUGAACGUUGCAGCGGAAAGUUUAGUGAACCUUAUCACUUAGAGGAAGGAGAAGUCGUAACA